RNA transcript from Ctenopharyngodon idella (grass carp), 3391 nucleotides. It is a transcript of the gene named arylsulfatase H, with no coding region annotated. The transcript is spliced from 13 exons. The record is from RefSeq and is a predicted model, not a curated record. Lineage: Eukaryota; Metazoa; Chordata; Actinopteri; Cypriniformes; Xenocyprididae.
CGGUAAGAGUGCUGCUUCGCGAGUGCAGUGGGAAUGUGGAAUAUCCUGUCAGCACAGAGAGGGAUAGCAAGUAAAUCGUUUGAAGAAUCAGGAAAAAUGACUGUUUAAGAGAAGAUUCUGCACACCUGAUUUUGACAAGUCAAAGUUCUUCCGGGUAUUAUCAGUCUGAACAUGUCAAUCAUCUCACCUGCACUUUAGAGGAGCUUCAUCUACAGAUGCUGAUGGAAAACAGGAGCUUGAGGUUUCUUGCUGGUUUUCUGGUUCUUUUCCAGUCCAGCUUGUGUGUCACAAAUGCAGAUCAUGAUUCCAGACCCAACUUCGUCCUGAUGAUGGUGGAUGAUCUGGGCAUUGGAGAUAUCGGCUGCUAUGGAAAUGACACCAUCAGGACUCCAAACAUAGAUCGUCUGGCCGCGGAUGGAGUGAAACUGACCCAGCACAUCUCCGCUGCUCCUCUCUGCACUCCCAGCAGAACCGCCUUCAUGACGGGCCGCUACGCUCUACGUGCCGGUCUGGGCAGCACCGGCCGAGUGCAGGUGAUUCUUUUCCUUGCUGGAUCAGGAGGACUUCCACCUAAUGAAACCACCUUCGCUAAACUUCUGCAAAAGCAGGGUUACACCACCGGCAUUGUGGGUAAGUGGCAUUUGGGUGUGAACUGUGAGAGCAGGAAUGAUCACUGCCACCAUCCCAACAAUCACGGCUUUGAUUUCUUUUACGGGCUGCCCUUCACCUUCUUCAAUGACUGCAAGCCUGGAGAAGGUAAAGAUGUCCUGGUGGACCUGCAGGAGAAGCUGUGGCAGAUUUCUGCACUGGUGGCACUUGCGUUUCUCACGCUGCUUCUGGUCCGGGUCGUCGGGCUGCUGCAGGUCCGUCUGACACUUGUGGCAUUUCUGGCUGUUCUGUCGCUGCUGAGCUUUUCUGUGUGGUUCAUACCCUUUGAACUCCUGAGGACUUGGAACUGCAUCAUCAUGAGGAACAGAGAGGUGGUGGAGCAGCCCAUGAACCCGGAGACGCUGAACGCACGGCUCAUGCAUGAAGCGGAGCAGUUUGUGGAGAGACACAGAGACGGGCCCUUCCUGCUGUUCCUGUCACUGGCACACGUGCACACGCCUCUCUUUGUGUCUGAGGGCUUCGCCGGAAAGAGCAAACAUGGGCUGUAUGGGGACAACGUUGAAGAAGCGGACUGGAUGAUUGGUAGAAUGAUGAAGACCAUCAAAAGGUUCGGCCUGUCGGAGAAAACCUUGAUGUACUUCACAUCUGACCACGGCGGCCACAUCGAAGACGCUCAGAGAGGAGGCUGGAACGGGAUAUAUCGAGGUGGUAAAGCCAUGGGCGGCUGGGAGGGAGGAAUCCGAGUGCCGGGAAUAUUCCACUGGCCCGGGCGUCUCACUGCAGGUCGACAGGUAUCAGAACCAACAAGUCUGAUGGAUGUUUUUCCCACAGUGGUGAAGCUCGCCGGGGGAGCGCUACCGGAGGACAGGAUCCUGGACGGUCGUGACCUGAUGCCACUGUUAGAGGGCAAAACCAACCGCUCGGAGCACGAGUUCAUGUUCCAUUACUGCGGCAUGUAUCUGAACGCUGUGCGCUGGCAUCCGCACGACAGUGAAUUCAUCUUCAAGGUCCAUUUCUUCACACCGAACUUUUCUCCCGCGGGAGCCGUCGGCUGUUACGACACCAAGGUGUGCAUGUGUCACGGGGACUUUGUGACGUACCACAACCCGCCGCUGGUGUUCGAUCUCAGCAGGGACCCGUCAGAGAGUCGUCCGCUCUCACCGGAGACGGAGCCGCGCUUCGCAGAGGUGCUGGAGCGUGUGGGACGGGCCGUGAAGGACCACCGCAAAACUCUGAUGCCUGUGGAGAAACAGCUGACGUGGACAAACGUCCUGUGGAAGCCGUGGCUGCAGCCCUGCUGCGGGACCUUCCCCUUCUGCUCCUGCUCAGAAACAAACACUUAAGAAACCAGAGAGUGAAGGAUGAACGAGUGCUGAUGAUAUCAGUGCUUCAGAAGAAGGGAAUCGUAUAGAAGGAGCUCCUGUGUUGAUUUAACAUGAAGAGCAUCGAUCCUGCUGUGCAGAACAUUGUCGUGUCUUCAUCAUGUCUGAAAGAUUCCUGCACUUUUGAGUUGCUCAUGUCCACAUACGGCAGAAAUAGUAAGAGUUGGAUGUUAGUUUGCUGUUACUUUGAGUAUUAUUCAUUACUUUCACCUUGUGCUCUGCUGAAGACGAACAGAAGCUUUAAGUGUUUCCAGAUGUGAUGCAGCAGGAGGAGUCUGAUGGAUCCAUCGCUCUUUCAUCUCUGGGAAGUGUGGAGGAGAACAGAAGGAGGACAGACAGACAGGACUUACACGAGAUGUGAAUUAGGAAAAUAAAAGAAGGAAAAAGACUGAAAUACGUCGACUCUUUCAGUGGCACUGACGUAAGUUAGUAACUGAAGUUAGUUCAUGCAUUCAUGACGUCUAGACUAGAUUACUGUAAUGCAUUAUUAGCUGGUUGUCCUGCUUCCUCAAUAAACAAGCUACAAUUAGUACAAAAUGCAGCUGCUAGAGUUCUUACCAGGUCAAGAAAAUAUGAUCAUAUAACACCAAUUUUAUCAUCUCUACACUGGUUACCUAUUAAGUUCCGUAUCGAUUAUAAAGUACUGCUAAUGACCUAUAAGGCUCUAAAUGGUUUAGCUCCUGUGUAUUUAUCGCCCUACAAUCCUUCACGCUCUUUAAGAUCACAAAACUCUGGACUUCUGGUUGUACCUAGGAUAGCUAAGUCCACUAAAGGAGGGAGAGCGUUUUCACAUUUGGCUCCUAAACUCUGGAAUAGCCUUCCUGAUAAUGUUCGGGGCUCAGACUCGCUCACCCAGUUUAAAUCUAGAUUAAAGACACAUCUCUUCAGCCAAGCGUUCACAUAAUGAAUCUCAUAUCAGAUCAAUUGCACAUGACUAUCUUUGCUUAAUGUUACGAACAGCAGCUAUGCUAAUUAUUCUCUAUAUGCUUUUCCGUUUUACCUCGGGACGCCCGUCCCGAGGUGACUAGAGAGUACAUCAGCUUCAGUUUGGAUCCAGCCUCUUAAGAAGACCUCAGAUGACUAACACCUGUGAAGAGACGGCGCCAACUCCUGCGAGGACUUCAGAAGAUGCAACAUCUGGAUCAACACGCACAUUCGCAAAUUUCUAUAUAUCCUAAUUAUUGUUAAUAUGUAAUUCAUUUUUACAGGAGCUCAUUGCUUCUACCUUCAAUUAAAUUGCUAACAGUGAUUGUAACUUAAUUGCCUAAAUUAUUACAUUAUUAGCUAACUGCAGUCUCCAAAUUGUAAUGUUGACAUGCAUUCUCUGUAAAGCUGCUUUGAAACGAUAUGUAUUGUGAAAAGCGCUAUACAAAUAAAUGUGAAUUGAAUUGACAUACAAA